GCGUAGCUCAGUUGGCAGAGCAUUGGGCUAGUAUACCAAAGGUCGUAGGUUCGAUUCCCACUGGCA
Molecule: transfer RNA, 66 nt
Filed under: Paramuricea clavata
Lineage: Eukaryota; Metazoa; Cnidaria; Anthozoa; Malacalcyonacea; Plexauridae
Description: tRNA-Thr
Rfam family: tRNA
About the family: Transfer RNA (tRNA) molecules are approximately 80 nucleotides in length.
Source: RNAcentral